AUUUGAGUAUCUUAAGUUUAAAGUUUAAUAUUGAAGCUAUUAAUAUAGAUAUUUUCUCUCAAAUA
Molecule: transfer RNA, 65 nt
Filed under: Helotrephes sp. NKMT027
Lineage: Eukaryota; Metazoa; Arthropoda; Insecta; Hemiptera; Helotrephidae
Also listed under: 2 other names
Description: tRNA-Phe
Source: RNAcentral